AUUCCCGAGGGCUUUUUCUACUCGAUGUCCUUUUUAAUGCCUGCUUCUCAUAGCAUCUUUUUGCUGCUGGUAUUUUCCCUGCUCAUUCAGAUUCCAGCACUCUUACCUUCUGCAAGAAGUGCCUCAGCAAGCCUGUGGGUGUGGGUGGUGGUUCCAUCGGCCCCAAAUUACACCCCUUUUCUGUAUUUCACAAGCCCUGAAUGCCCCUUGCACCCCCAGCCCCCACGGAGAUGCGGAGCCUCUAGCUCCAUUCUGCAUUCACUAGAUCCACUCUUCCUCCCCCUGUAUAGGUGUGAAUUACAGUCACUCUGCUCAAAAUGUUUGCAGCAAAGGCCAUCUUCGAGGUCAGGAAAUCCUAUUAUCAGAUUUACUCUUCAGAGCAGAGGUGUCCAUAGUAGUGAAGUUGAGCCAUUCCCUGGAGCAUCUGUGGGGUCUUCAUGUUUGGGAAAUCUUGGGAUUCUUGAGAAGUGGUGACUCAACACAUGGAGUUCUUAGCCUGCUCAGAGGAAGGAGCAUCAACAGACAACUUCUGCUCAGGAAUCGACAGGAGAAUAGAGUUUAUGUUUUCUCAUGACCAUAUCCUCCAAGCAAUACUUUGAAAUUAUGCCGCCAUUUCUAGCUUUGCUUUGACUGGUCUUUCAAGAGUCAGCCUCAAACCCAGAACACACUCACACAAAUCCAGCUGAAGAUGAUUCUCGAGUGGCCAGAGUCCAGCAGGGCCUCAAUUCCUGCAGAAAUUGGGCCAAAGCUUUGGAGUCAGCACCCACCAGCCAGGCACCAACAGCCCCCAGGCAUGGGGAGCAGAGGAGAGUCACUGAAAGGCAAUGCGUUAAAAGAGGGGCUUGUUCUGCUCUCUCUUUGCCCCAUUUCUGUUCUGGGCAACCCAGCUAACCUGGCCCCUCUAAAUCUGUGCCCCUCUAAAUCUGAGCUUGGGACCAUCCAGAGCCUGUUUCUGCCCUUGUUCGUCCACCUGCCAGCCCUCCCCUGCUCCCCUCAUCACAGUUCUAGCCCACUGGAACCAUUUCUGGGUUUUGGCUGGAUUUAUCUUUCAAAGCUUUCAAGGAGAGUGAGAGGAAAACUGUCUUUGCAACUCUGGACACAUUGAAGGAGCUCAGGAAAUAUGAGCUGAAUUGGGUGAAGAAUGAAAGGAAGGAAGGAAAGAAGAGAGGGAGGGCGGAUUCUGCCCUCUGGAGUGCCCUGACGCCUUACAGACUCCAGAGGCAGAAAGGCUGAACACUCUUCAGGCAGGUGUCUGGCUGUGGAGGGCAGGUGGGAGGCGCAGAGCAGAAGGGAGGAGCUGGCCAACGCUCCAGUGAAAACAGGCCAGAGGCUGGGAGCUCACAGCUUCUACUGCCAGCCC
Molecule: long non-coding RNA, 1360 nt
Filed under: Equus caballus (horse)
Lineage: Eukaryota; Metazoa; Chordata; Mammalia; Perissodactyla; Equidae
Description: lncRNA (ENSECAG00000053738.1)
Source: RNAcentral